RNAcentral lists this ribosomal RNA (1414 nucleotides) under Microbacterium algeriense. RNAcentral's name for it is "bacterial SSU rRNA". Lineage: Bacteria; Bacillati; Actinomycetota; Actinomycetes; Micrococcales; Microbacteriaceae. The record is from RNAcentral.
GCUUACCAUGCAGUCGAACGGUGAAGCCCAGCUUGCUGGGUGGAUCAGUGGCGAACGGGUGAGUAACACGUGAGCAACCUGCCCCUGACUCUGGGAUAAGCGCUGGAAACGGCGUCUAAUACUGGAUACGAGACGUGACCGCAUGGUCAACGUUUGGAAAGAUUUUUCGGUUGGGGAUGGGCUCGCGGCCUAUCAGCUUGUUGGUGAGGUAAUGGCUCACCAAGGCKUCGACGGGUAGCCGSCCUGAGAGGGUGACCGGCCACACUGGGACUGAGACACGGCCCAGACUCCUACGGGAGGCAGCAGUGGGGAAUAUUGCACAAUGGGCGGAAGCCUGAUGCAGCAACGCCGCGUGAGGGAUGACGGCCUUCGGGUUGUAACCUCUUUUAGCAGGGAAGAAGCGAAAGUGACGGUACCUGCAGAAAAAGCGCCGGCUAACUACGUGCCAGCAGCCGCGGUAAUACGUAGGGCGCAAGCGUUAUCCGGAAUUAUUGGGCGUAAAGAGCUCGUAGGCGGUUUGUCGCGUCUGCUGUGAAAUCUGGGGGCUCAACCCCCAGCCUGCAGUGGGUACGGGCAGACUAGAGUGCGGUAGGGGAGAUUGGAAUUCCUGGUGUAGCGGUGGAAUGCGCAGAUAUCAGGAGGAACACCGAUGGCGAAGGCAGAUCUCUGGGCCGUAACUGACGCUGAGGAGCGAAAGGGUGGGGAGCAAACAGGCUUAGAUACCCUGGUAGUCCACCCCGUAAACGUUGGGAACUAGUUGUGGGGUCCAUUCCACGGAUUCCGUGACGCAGCUAACGCAUUAAGUUCCCCGCCUGGGGAGUACGGCCGCAAGGCUAAAACUCAAAGGAAUUGACGGGGACCCGCACAAGCGGCGGAGCAUGCGGAUUAAUUCGAUGCAACGCGAAGAACCUUACCAAGGCUUGACAUAUACGAGAACGGGCCAGAAAUGGUCAACUCUUUGGACACUCGUAAACAGGUGGUGCAUGGUUGUCGUCAGCUCGUGUCGUGAGAUGUUGGGUUAAGUCCCGCAACGAGCGCAACCCUCGUUCUAUGUUGCCAGCACGUAAUGGUGGGAACUCAUGGGAUACUGCCGGGGUCAACUCGGAGGAAGGUGGGGAUGACGUCAAAUCAUCAUGCCCCUUAUGKCUUGGGCUUCACGCAUGCUACAAUGGCCGGUACAAAGGGCUGCAAUACCGCGAGGUGGAGCGAAUCCCAAAAAGCCGGUCCCAGUUCGGAUUGAGGUCUGCAACUCGACCUCAUGAAGUCGGAGUCGCUAGUAAUCGCAGAUCAGCAACGCUGCGGUGAAUACGUUCCCGGGUCUUGUACACACCGCCCGUCAAGUCAUGAAAGUCGGUAACACCUGAAGCCGGUGGCCUAACCCUUGUGGAGGGAGCCGUCGAAGGUGGAUCGUUUG